RNAcentral lists this ribosomal RNA (253 nucleotides) under uncultured bacterium. RNAcentral's name for it is "partial 16S ribosomal RNA". It matches the Rfam family "Bacterial small subunit ribosomal RNA", at positions 524 to 776 of the family's 1533-position model. The record is from RNAcentral.
UACGGGGGGGGCAAGCGUUGUUCGGAAUUACUGGGCGUAAAGGGCUCGUAGGCGGCCAACUAAGUCAGACGUGAAAUCCCCAGGCUCAACCUGGGAACUGCGUCUGAUACUGGAUGGCUUGAAUCCGGGAGAGGGAUGCAGAAUUCCAGGUGUAGCGGUGAAAUGCGUAGAUAUCUGGAGGAAUACCGGUGGCGAAGGCGGCAUCCUGGACCGGCAUCGACGCUGAGGAGCGAAAGCCAGGGGAGCAAACGGG